GAUGAACGCUGGCGGCGUGCUUAACACAUGCAAGUCGAACGGUGAAGGCGGAGCUUGCUCUGCUGGAUCAGUGGCGAACGGGUGAGUAACACGUGAGCAAUCUGCCCCUGACUCUGGGAUAAGCGCUGGAAACGGCGUCUAAUACUGGAUACGAGCUGCGAAGGCAUCUUCAGCAGCUGGAAAGAACUUCGGUCAGGGAUGAGCUCGCGGCCUAUCAGCUUGUUGGUGAGGUAACGGCUCACCAAGGCGUCGACGGGUAGCCGGCCUGAGAGGGUGACCGGCCACACUGGGACUGAGACACGGCCCAGACUCCUACGGGAGGCAGCAGUGGGGAAUAUUGCACAAUGGGCGAAAGCCUGAUGCAGCAACGCCGCGUGAGGGACGACGGCCUUCGGGUUGUAAACCGCUUUUAGCAGGGAAGAAGCGAAAGUGACGGUACCUGCAGAAAAAGCGCCGGCUAACUACGU
This 467-nucleotide ribosomal RNA is filed under the name uncultured bacterium. RNAcentral describes it as "partial 16S ribosomal RNA". It matches the Rfam family "Bacterial small subunit ribosomal RNA", at positions 28 to 506 of the family's 1533-position model. The record is from RNAcentral.